CUCUCUCUCUCUCACACACACACUCUAUCUCUCUCCUCUUUUUAUUUUUUGUUUUUUUAUCACAUUCAUAUGCUUGCGCACACAUGCAGCAGGUCUCAAAAGACAAUUUUUAUCUUUGUUGAAGUGAGGCUCAACUGAAUUCUUGAAACAAUGGGCUGUUGGUAUAGGACGAAAUUAAGUUCUUAUGUACGUAUCAUACUGUUCUUUUGGUAUUGACAGG
RNAcentral lists this unclassified non-coding RNA (220 nucleotides) under Hevea brasiliensis (rubber tree). The record is from RNAcentral. Lineage: Eukaryota; Viridiplantae; Streptophyta; Magnoliopsida; Malpighiales; Euphorbiaceae.